Molecule: non-coding RNA, 828 nt
Filed under: Pan troglodytes (chimpanzee)
Lineage: Eukaryota; Metazoa; Chordata; Mammalia; Primates; Hominidae
Source: RNAcentral
GAGGAAGAGAAGGAGGAGAAGGAGGAGGAGGAGAAAGUGGCUCUCAGCGGCCGGUCGGAUUAAAAGUAACCAGACUCGUCCAGAAAACUGCGUCCAGGAAGGAAGUGACAGAAGACGAAUGGGAAAAGGAGAACAGCUCACAGCGUUUGAAACAUCGCGGCACCACUUUCAGAUAAAAACAUAGACCUGAAUGGCAUCAUCCAGUAUCCAAGGAAACCAUGCUUGCUUGAAGAGUGAGCAGGUGAGCAAAGAGACAAGAUUACAUGUUUAAACCAAGAAAAGAAUUUUGAAAAAGCAUUGAAAAGAACAACUUUCAAGUCAAAAGAAUCAAGGUGAAGAGAAUGGAUACUCAUGCCCAUGUGAAUUUGCUGCCCCAAGUCUACUGGAGGAUCAAGCUGCAGGUUUCAAUAGCUAUAGCCUGAAGAAUCUCUGUAAUGAACUAAAACAAUCAGUAAAAGAUCAGUUGCAGUGGAAGACAUUAUACUCUAGAUUUUUCUAGGAUUAUUAAAUUUGAAAAUGAUUUAUUCCAAAUUUUAACUUAGCUUUUAAUUUUACUAGUGUCAAAAUGUUGUUCUACUUUGGACAACUGAUUUUUCCAAUAGAGAGUCAAUAGCAUCUUUGCAGGGUGGUUUAAAAGCCAAUAAUUUAAUCCAUAUUCUACUAAAACUUUUAAUAUAAGCAUUUUACCCAGAUGUAUUUUUUCCUUGUUUUAGAAAAUCUGAUUUUAAUUGCUAAAACUCGUUUUUAAAUAUUAAUUCAAUGAAAGAAAUGCUAUGGUUUUCUACUUUUUUAUUUCUUAAACUCAAGGGAAAACAUGGGUGAAAAACA